GCACAAGCGGUGGAGCAUGUGGUUAAUUCGAUGCAACGCGAAGAACCUUACCUGGUCUUGACAUAGUAAGAACUUUCCAGAGAUGGAUUGGUGCCUUCGGGAGCUUACAUACAGGUGCUGCAUGGCUGUCGUCAGCUCGUGUCGUGAGAUGUUGGGUUAAGUCCCGCAACGAGCGCAACCCUUUUCCUUAUUUGCCAGCGGGUUAAGCCGGGAACUUUAAGGAUACUGCCAGUGACAAACUGGAGGAAGGCGGGGACGACGUCAAGUCAUCAUGGCCCUUACGACCAGGGCUACACACGUGCUACAAUGGUCGGUACAAAGGGUUGCUACCUAGCGAUAGGAUGCUAAUCUCACAAAGCCGGUCGUAGUCCGGAUCGCAGUCUGCAACUCGACUGCGUGAAGUCGGAAUCGCUAGUAAUCGCGGAUCAGCAUGUCGCGGUGAAUACGUUCCCGGGUCUU
This 459-nucleotide ribosomal RNA is filed under the name uncultured Acinetobacter sp. RNAcentral describes it as "bacterial SSU rRNA". It matches the Rfam family "Bacterial small subunit ribosomal RNA", at positions 923 to 1382 of the family's 1533-position model. The record is from RNAcentral. Lineage: Bacteria; Pseudomonadati; Pseudomonadota; Gammaproteobacteria; Moraxellales; Moraxellaceae.